AUAGCCGAAUCCGUGGUCGCGAGGCUUCGGAAAUGUGGCGUAUGGGAGGGGAUCCUCCCGUUGAGGAAAACAGCUCAAGUCUCCAUGAGAGGGGCAUGCUGCCCGGAGUGGGUGCUAGGCCCUUACCGCCGGGAUCCUCGGCGGGAGUCGCCGUUCUCCCAGGAGUCGGGUUGCUUGGGAGUGCAGCCCAAAGAGGGUGGUAAACUCCACCUAAAGCUAAACACCACCGAAAGACCGAUAGCAAACAAGUACCAUGAGGGAAAGUUGAAAAGCACUUUGAAGAGAGAGUUCAAGAGUAUGUGAAACCAUUUGGAGGUAAAUGGAUGGGGCUUUGAAAGCCUAGGGCAGUGGCAGAUUCAGCCUUCGUGGACCCCUUUCCCCGGGCCACAUCCACACCGAGAGGUGAGGCAGCACCGGGAAGAAGGUGGGGGCCCGGGGGGGCACACUUCCACACCCUGCCCAGCGGGAUGCUGUGAGGGGUUGGGCAGCUGUCAAGGGGCCACGCCAAAAGGUGGCCAUUCUUCUUCGGAUUGACGGUGUUACAGGCGGCGUAGAUCCAGCGAAGCCACCCGACCGAGGUGGAGGAAUUCCUUGACGACCUUCCCUGCGGAGAGUGGCCGCAGGGAUGGGCCCCUUUGGCCGGCCGGGUGCCACCUCAAGGGGUGAGCUCGGCGGGUCGUGGGAUGCCCCGAGUGUGGUGGGGGAAGGAGAGGUCGGCAGUGAGUAGAUCGGUUUCCGACCUGACCCAUCUUGUAACACGGACCAAGGAAUCCAAAUCACCUGCCAGUCCCCGGGACUUGAUUAGGCCCUCGGGUGCAAUGAAGGUGAAGUGCAGCCGAUGUUGCCCCAGUUGGGAUCCCCUCUCCUUUCGGAGUGGGCGCACCAACAUCCUGUUGCAUUCCAUUCUCGGUGCGGCGGUGAAGGAGCAGGUGGUUUGGGACCUGAAAAAUGGUGAACUAUGCCCGGGCAGGAUGAAGCCAGAGGAAACUCUGGUGGAGGUCUGUAGUGAUUYUGAUGUGCAAAUUGAUCAUCAGACCCAGGUAUA
Molecule: ribosomal RNA, 1045 nt
Filed under: Anagarypus heatwolei
Lineage: Eukaryota; Metazoa; Arthropoda; Arachnida; Pseudoscorpiones; Garypidae
Description: eukaryotic LSU rRNA
Rfam family: Eukaryotic large subunit ribosomal RNA
Source: RNAcentral